This 728-nucleotide long non-coding RNA is filed under the name Brassica napus (rape). RNAcentral describes it as "long non-coding RNA (BNAP_LNC009300)". Lineage: Eukaryota; Viridiplantae; Streptophyta; Magnoliopsida; Brassicales; Brassicaceae. The record is from RNAcentral.
AAAACAGACCCGAUUUUCACUCGUAACGUUUCUCUGUUUUGAAUUAAAGCUGAAUAAAGUUUUCAAGUUAAACUUCAUCUCUCGUAUUUCAACUUAUCUAUUCCUGUUUGUCUCUAAAAUUUUCUUCUUUAUCUGGUCAUGCUUGAUCUUCAAGUUUGAAGAAAUCAAUCUUUGCUUCAUAUGGAUUUGGCAAAGUAUUCGGAUGAUUUACAGAUUUGAGUUUUUACAAGUGAGCUUUUGGUUUGGUACAGUUUAAGAAAAGACAGAGUUUGUUCUAUAGACAAGCGUUAUGUCAAUGGCUGUGUCCUAAAUCAGAUAAAGCUUCUUGAAGAUGUUCACAUCCAGUGAAGACAGUAAGAGAGUCUCAGAGGCAACAGCGAUUGAGAGAUUGAAGCAUACAAAUGGAAUCAAAGUUGGGUUCGAUCUUUGUGUUCCGGAGGAAUCGACUCGUCAGGAGUUCAAGUUGGUGACUUUUCCGGAGAAGACGCAAGAAGACGCAAUCCUUUCCCUUGAGCGACACGUGGAGCCAGUUAAGAGAUGAUGGAGGCACGUGGAUGGACAACUGCCUUACUCUUGUUCAUCCUUAUCAUAUAAACUAGGAAUUAAUCUUAAUGUUUUUCAAAUGUUAAUUAUCUUAACUAUUCUUAAUGUUUUAUAUCAAAUGAUAAUAAUAAAAUAUAUUUAAUAUAAUAUUUAAUUAUUAUUUAUUUUAUUUAACAUUUUCAAAU